UAAUAAAUCGUGCGAAGAAAAGCCCGAAUUUGUGUAAGGCAAGACUUUGGAGUGUUUCUGUUCCGUAAAAGGGGAAUCUUACGACUCAUGAAGAUCAGAGCUGAUCUUCUCCGAUACGAGAGUAGAGCGCUGUAUUACCGGCAAACCUCAUAAACGGCCAUAGCAGUAAGUGGGGGUUUCUCGGAGAAGGAGGGAUAAACGAGCCGAGCCACGAUUUCGUUGUCGUAAACGUCAAAGUUACGGUUACAACGUUGUUCCUAGCUGCUUUAUAUUGAACGAGGUUGCUCCCCGAGAUCUGCACCGUAAAAGAGGUUCACUCUCAAUAGGCUGGAAUGAAGAGAUGCCUAAAUAGCACCCCAGCCUCUAUCGUCGCGCCCUCUAAUUACCCUGUAGACGCAGUCACCCCUCAAUGAGGAGUGAUAAAUAUUGUUCGCGUUUAGGUAUAUCCCGAGAAAGUGAAUCAGCUCUAUAAAGAAAGAUAUAUGCUAUCUCAUUGCUAUUGUUGAAGAUGAAGAAAAAAAGAAGUGACUCUUAAACCCGACCGAAAAAAACAGUAAAGAAGAUUCCCGUCGAGAAGGAAGAGCUAGAGGCGGUUUGGAGCAAAGAAAAAGGAGAUAACAAAAAAAACUGCUAGCUAGCUAGAAACCUAGUCUCAGUUGAGCUGGUAAAGGAAAUAGUCUCACCGAAAGUGCGAUAUAACCCAUGAGCCCUUGAUUAUAUAUCUACUAACGGCAAAGCAGAAGGUUAUUCGGGAGUAUCUCUCUCGCAAUGAAAAGGACAAAGACACCGCUAGAAACAGCUGACUACCGGAAUUCGGGGUUCCGGUGGGGUGAGUACAGUGGGGAAGGCACUUGAACCCCCAAUUGGACGAGGACUUCCCCAUUAUA
Temnothorax curvispinosus is the source of this 887-nucleotide long non-coding RNA. RefSeq lists it as uncharacterized. The record is from RefSeq and is a predicted model, not a curated record. Lineage: Eukaryota; Metazoa; Arthropoda; Insecta; Hymenoptera; Formicidae. The transcript is spliced from 3 exons.